UACAGAGGUCUCGAGCGUUGUUCGGAUUCAUUGGGCGUAAAGGGUGCGUAGGUGGCGCUGUAAGUCGGGUGUGAAAUCCUGAGGCUUAACCUCGGAACUGCAUUCGAUACUGCGGUGCUUGAGGACUGGAGAGGAGACUGGAAUUCCCGGUGUAGCGGUGAAAUGCGUAGAGAUCGGGAGGAACACCCGUGGCGAAGGCGGCCAUCUGGACCAGCACUGACGCUGAGGCACGAAAGCGUGGGGAGCAAACAGG
This 253-nucleotide ribosomal RNA is filed under the name uncultured bacterium. RNAcentral's name for it is "partial 16S ribosomal RNA". It matches the Rfam family "Bacterial small subunit ribosomal RNA", at positions 524 to 776 of the family's 1533-position model. The record is from RNAcentral.